RNAcentral lists this ribosomal RNA (519 nucleotides) under uncultured bacterium. RNAcentral's name for it is "bacterial SSU rRNA". It matches the Rfam family "Bacterial small subunit ribosomal RNA", at positions 990 to 1509 of the family's 1533-position model. The record is from RNAcentral.
CGGUGUUACGUGGAGAGAUUCACGGUCCACUUCGGUGGCGCGCACACAGGUGCUGCAUGGCUGUCGUCAGCUCGUGUCGUGAGAUGUUGGGUUAAGUCCCGCAACGAGCGCAACCCACGUCCUUAGUUGCCAUCAUUCAGUUGGGCACUCUAGGGAGACUGCCGGUGAUAAGCCGCGAGGAAGGUGUGGAUGACGUCAAGUCCUCAUGGCCCUUACGGGAUGGGCUACACACGUGCUACAAUGGCGGUGACAGUGGGACGCGAAACCGCGAGGUUGAGCAAAUCCCCAAAAGCCGUCUCAGUUCGGAUUGCACUCUGCAACUCGGGUGCAUGAAGGCGGAAUCGCUAGUAAUCGUGGAUCAGCAUGCCACGGUGAAUACGUUCCCGGGCCUUGUACACACCGCCCGUCACACCAUGGGAGUUGGUCUUACCCGACGGCGCUGCGCCAACCGCAAGGAGGCAGGCGACCACGGUAGGGUCAGCGACUGGGGUGAAGUCGUAACAAGGUAAGCGUAGUGCU